This is a long non-coding RNA of Carya illinoinensis, 1241 nucleotides long. RefSeq lists it as uncharacterized. NCBI's taxonomy places the organism in Eukaryota, Viridiplantae, Streptophyta, Magnoliopsida, Fagales, Juglandaceae. The record is from RefSeq and is a predicted model, not a curated record. The transcript has 3 exons.
AUAUAUAGCCGUCAGCCGGUGACCAAUCAGAAGGAGCCGUAGAAGUGAAAGGUUUUUAAACAGAAAGCACAUCCAGUUCUGGCAGUAGCAAUUCCCAUUCCCUAUAGAAGAUCGCCAACGAUGGGGUUAAAACUUCCAAGUGAUCAUUUGCGCAUCUGGGAGAGAGACUCAGGGGGUACCAUCCAUAUUCUCUUUUUCUAAGCUUGUAAGAUUUGUGCGCAACCGUGCUUGUAUGUAGCAAAACUCCCUAUCAGUUUUUCUAUAUACAGUCUAUUUCGCGCACGACUUGCGCACUCCCAUAUGACGUGGUGGUAGUUUAAAAAAAAAUGAAAACAUGAAGAAGACAGCAAGACGACGGAUGCAAACCCACGAUGCAAAUACCAGGCUCCAUUUUUCCCAGCAUUUGAGCACUCUGCAUUGUCGCCAAUUGUGGGUGUCUCUGUCAUCUCUGCCACCAUUUCUCCCCCAUGUUGCCACAUCCACGCACUCGCCAGAAGUGAUCUCAUGCCAGCUCUCUCUCUCUCUGAUUGUGAGUAUUCUUGGAUCGUCAUAUCUUGGGUUUCCCCAACCGCCACUCCUCGUCGUCUCAUAUCUGUUGGUUGGAUUCCAUUGAUUUGCUUUAACUAUAACCAUUACAUCUUAAUGGUGGAAGCAUUGAUUUUGUUUUAGAAAUUAUUUAUACACUAAGGAAGUGCUUUUCUUUGUAUGCAAUAACCUACUACAUUGACUCUUCUCGCAUAACCCACAACAUCGACCCUUCUCGCAUUUACGUAGCCCGAAAUAUCGCAUAACCCUCUCUUCUCCUUCAGACCCUCUCUUGCAAACUUGCUCGUACUCGUGCAAUGGAAGUUUCUGACUCCCUCUCGCACGAUGCAAUUUGGGGUGGAUGGAACACAACAGGAUAGCUUGGCUGGGACACAACCGGACCUGUAUGGAGCUAUGCUUGGGGAUAUCGAACGAGAUCGGAAUGAGGAGUGAUGUAAUCUGGUCUUGCAGUUUACUGCAACUAAUUAUAUGAUCUUAAAUUACAUUGAUGAAGACAAGGAGUGCCUCUUAUUUAUGGGAUUUUCAGUGGUUGAACCACUUUUUUCAUGAUGAUUAAGGGGUUUUUCUCAUUUAUUUGGAAGCACCGCCUACUAUUUUUUUUUUUUCAUUUUUUUAAGUUUAUAUGAUUUUUCAUGUAAAAAGCACCACCGAAUUUUGCUAUUAAUGGAUAUCAACUGCUUGUCUUUGGCGUUUCA